RNAcentral lists this ribosomal RNA (465 nucleotides) under uncultured bacterium. RNAcentral's name for it is "partial 16S ribosomal RNA". It matches the Rfam family "Bacterial small subunit ribosomal RNA", at positions 28 to 506 of the family's 1533-position model. The record is from RNAcentral.
GACGAACGCUGGCGGCGCGCCUAACACAUGCAAGUCGAACGAGCGAGAGAGAGCUUGCUUUCUCAAGCGAGUGGCGAACGGGUGAGUAACGCGUGAGGAACCUGCCUCAAAGAGGGGGACAACAGUUGGAAACGACUGCUAAUACCGCAUAAGCCCACGACCCGGCAUCGGGUAGAGGGAAAAGGAGCAAUCCGCUUUGAGAUGGCCUCGCGUCCGAUUAGCUAGUUGGUGAGGUAACGGCCCACCAAGGCGACGAUCGGUAGCCGGACUGAGAGGUUGAACGGCCACAUUGGGACUGAGACACGGCCCAGACUCCUACGGGAGGCAGCAGUGGGGAAUAUGGCACAAUGGGGGAAACCCUGAUGCAGCGACGCCGCGUGGAGGAAGAAGGUCUUCGGAUUGUAAACUCCUGUUGUUGAGGAAGAUAAUGACGGUACUCAACAAGGAAGUGACGGCUAACUACGU